UACGUAGGGGGCAAGCGUUGUCCGGAAUUACUGGGCGUAAAGCGCACGCAGGCUGACUUAUAAGUCGGUAGUCUAAUGCGGAGGCUCAACUUCCGUUUAUCUAUCGAUACUGUAAGACUAGAGUAUGUGAGAGGGAAGUGGAAUUCCUGGUGUAGCGGUGAAAUGCGUAGAUAUCGGGAGGAACACCAGUGGCGAAGGCGACUUCCUGGCACAAUACUGACGCUCAUGUGCGAAAGCUAGGGUAGCGAACGGGAUUAGAUACCCCU
RNAcentral lists this ribosomal RNA (266 nucleotides) under uncultured prokaryote. RNAcentral describes it as "partial 16S ribosomal RNA". It matches the Rfam family "Bacterial small subunit ribosomal RNA", at positions 524 to 789 of the family's 1533-position model. The record is from RNAcentral.